UUCAGUCUUUCAGCUCCUCUGCUAAUCUAGUGACUAAGAACAGGAUCUCACUGGAGCUCAAAGAUGUGGGGCACUGGGAAUACUCUGGGUCUGUCUGCUCACGGCUGAUUGCCUGAUCCCAGUUUUAUUAUACAGCUUAAAUACAGACCAGAAGAGGAGUUUGGGGCUUGACACCUGACAUCUUAACACCAGUUCCUGUUUCUUGAGGAAGGAAGAGGUAAAAUAAAUCAGCAUUUACUGUGUCCUUCUCCAUCCCCGGAAGUCUUCAUGAAGACCCUCUCAGCUUCUACUUGAACGUGAAUAUGAGCAACUGAUCAUCUGUUCUGCAGUCAGCCCCUGGCCUGAUUCUGACUCAUGGUAUUGACCUUCUCCAUCAUCACCUUCCACAAAUUUGAUUCCUAUCUAUUCUGCCUGGAAUGGUUCACGAGUAUAGUCACCAUUUAUGUUCCUGACGAAAGCAGGUGAAGGCAUUCGUGCAGAGAGGCGAUUUCCAUGCGUGCAGCAAAGUGUGUGCUGAGAUGAUGAGUCGCUGGAGACCAGGGUGGACUCUUCAGACCCAGGAUAGGCCUCUGGCAGGCACUCUAUCAGGCACUCCAAGCUGGGAAGUGACUCAGGGAGAGAAGGAAGAGAUUUCAGAGAAUGAACACAUAUAGAGAGAGAGGCAAGAGAUGCUGAGUGAGGAUGUCUUGCGUACUGAUAUCCUGAGGAAAGUGGGAAAAUUGGACCCUGGCCUGCUCUGCCAAUGCCGUGAAGCAGUCCGCACCAGGGGCUCCCUUGUGCCUGCGUAGCCUUUCCCAGGGUGUGCUCAAAUCCUGUGACCACUAGGUGUCCUAGGUCACAAUGGAGGACCCUGUGUCAUCUGCCUGGCGGACUGGAUCUCUGCCAUUGGCUGAGUCUUGUCACCAGGCCCAUCAUAAGCUCUGCCCACUCUUCCGGUGGGGAGACUCUUUCCAUGGUGAUGGCAAAGAAACCUUAGUCCCGCCCACCUGGCCUUGACUUCACCUACCUGGCCUGCUGACCCUCACUCAGACCUCUGUGUCGAUCAAAAUGAAUGUUCACCAGUGGCCCGGUGUCAGCAUCUGGUAUAAAGGAUUCGGGACCUUGCCUGAGGCAGAAGGCAGCCUAGGUCUGCGGGUACCUGGAAGUCUAGUGACUUGUGACGCUGCUGCCAGUGAGAAAUGGUGACUCCCACACUCACAUAUCCCCUGGUGGCAGAAUGAUAGUGAUGGGUGGAGAAACAUCGCUCCGGAGCACUCGCGCAGUGGGGCACCGGCCAGAGGCCAGGGCCAGUAGUGGACGUCGCGGAGCUGAAUGGCGAGCCAGUGAAGGGCCCAAGGAUUUCUCCAAUGAGGCAAAAUGCAGAUCAAGCCAAGGAACAUAAAGAUAAAGCAGCUGAAGAAAUUAAAAAGGUUACUCAAGAACAUAGUUAAAAAUUUAAUAAGCUGCAAGAAACCAUAGAGAGACUGCAAUCAGAGAUUCAGAAGAUUAACAAUAAAAUUACAGAGUUAGAAAACUCAAUAGAAAGUAAGAAGAGCACAACUGAGGAAUUGGAAGGCAGAAUUACUGAGAUUGAAGAUGAAACUCUUGGGACUAAUAUAUUUGAAGAGAAAGCAGAUAAAAGAAAUUUAAAUGAAGAAAUCCAAAGAAUCAUGUGGGACUUUAUCAAGAGAAAUAACUAUGAGUGAUUUCAGUACCAGAACAGGGAGGGCUAACAGAAAAUACAAAGGGAACUGUUGAAGAUUUGUUGGCAGAAAACUUCCAUGAUAUCAUGAAAGAUGCUCAUCGAAUUCCACAUAAGGUAGAUCUCAAAAGAAAGUGACCGAGACACAUAAUAAUCAAACUUGCCAAAAUCAAAUAUAAAGAGAAUUUUAAGAGAGGCUAGGGAUAAAGGAAGUCACCAACAAAGGAGAGUAAAUAAUAAAAAACUUGGACUACUCAGCAGAAAUCAUGCAGGCAAGAAGGCAAAGGGAUGACUUACACAAAAUAUUGAAGGAAAAAAAUUGCCAGCCAGGAAUCAAACCAUAACCCUGGCCCUCUGGCCCUCUGGCCCUCUGGCCUUAGCCCUCUAACUCUAGCCCCUAAGCCCUGAGCCCCAAAGCCCCUAAGACCCUAAGCCCUUAGGUCCUAACCCCCAAGGCCCUAAACUCUAACCCUAACCCAAACCGUAACCCCUAUAGCCUAAACUCUACAACCUAAACACCUACACCCCAAAACACUACACAUCAAAACCCUACACACUAAACCCUAUACUCUAAGCCUCAAACCCUAAACCCAAACCUCAAAUCCCAAACCCUAAACCUAACUGUAAACCCUAAACCCUAACACCUAACCCUAACCCCUAACCACCCUAACCCUAAUGACCCUAACCCUAACCCUCGAACCCUAACCCUCUAACGCUAACAUGAAACCCUAAUCCGAAACCCUAACCCUCUAACUCUAACCUCUAACCCUCUAACCCUAGCCCUAAUCCUAACCCCAACCUCCAAACCUAACCCCAAACCCUAAACCUCAAAUCCCUAGCCCUAAACCUAAGAAUGAGCCUAAGCCUAACCCUAUCACUUAACUCUAAACCCUAAACCAUAACA
Long non-coding RNA from Loxodonta africana (African savanna elephant), 2585 nucleotides. RefSeq lists it as uncharacterized. The record is from RefSeq and is a predicted model, not a curated record. NCBI's taxonomy places the organism in Eukaryota, Metazoa, Chordata, Mammalia, Proboscidea, Elephantidae. The transcript has 4 exons.